This 1272-nucleotide long non-coding RNA is filed under the name Homo sapiens (human). RNAcentral's name for it is "HSALNT0009211". Lineage: Eukaryota; Metazoa; Chordata; Mammalia; Primates; Hominidae. The record is from RNAcentral.
CAGAAGUACCUCCAUGAUCUCACCCCAUAAUCUGACCUCAUCUUCUUUCUUCCUCAUUUUUCACUGGUGAUCAUACUGGCCACUUUGUUAUUGCCAGAACCAAACAAAUACACCUCUGCCUCACAAGCCUUUUGCACUAACCCUUCUUUUUGCAGGUGUCUGAAUGACUAUCUCCCUUACCUCCUUUAAGUCUUUGCUUAAAUGUCAUCUUCUCAAUGAGGCCUAUCUUGACCACCCUGUUUAAAACUCCAACCUGGGCCAGGCGCAGUGGCUCACGCCUGUAAUCCCAGCACUUUGGAAGGCCAAGGCAGAUCACCUGAGGUGCUGGGAUUACAGGCAUGAGCCACUGAGCCCAGCCAAUUUUAUUUAUUUUUAAAGACAGGGUCUUGCUCUGUUGCCUAGGCUGGAGUGCAGGGUCAUGGUCAUAGCUCACCGUAAUCUCCAAUUCCUAGGCUCAAGCAAUCCCCUAUUCUCAGCCUCCCAAAGUGCUAGCAAGGCAUAAGCCACCUUGCCCAGCCCCAGAUUUGCUUUAAAAAAAAAAAAAAAAUUUUAUUAAGGUGUAAUCCUCCCACUCUUCGUAUGGACUUUAAUGGUUUUCUGUAAAUUUAUAGUUGUGCAACUGUCACCACAAUCCAGCUUAGAGCCCUCCAACACCCACAAAAGCUGUCUUGCACCAGUUUGCAAUCAAUUCCCCUUCUCUCAGCCCUUGAAAUCACUGUUUGUCUCCACACUUUUUCCCUUUUUAGAAAUUUCAUAUAAAUGAAAUUAGACAUUAUAUAGUCUUUUGUAUGUCUUACACUUGGCAUAAUGUUUCUACUAUUCAUCCAUGUUGCUUCAUGGAUCAGUACGCCAUGAUCUUUUUACUGCUGAGUAGCAUUUUAUUAUACAACUAUAACACAUUUUGUUUAUCCAUUUGUCAGAUGAUAGACAUUUCAAUUGUUUCCAGUUUUGGGCAAUUAUGAACAAUACUGCCAUAAACAUUUGUUUACAUGUUUUAUGUUAACAUAAAUUUUCAUUUCUCUGGAAUGAAUACCUAAGAGUGGGAUUGCUGGGUCAUGUACUAGGAGUUGAACCUACAAGAAAUUACCAAACUGUUUAUCAUGUGGCACACAGCAUUUUGCAUGCUCAUCAUUGAUAUUCAUAGGAAUUCCCUAAUGACUGACACUGUGUACUUUUUAUGUGCUUAUUAGACCUAUCUUCUUAAGGGUAAUUCCUAUCCAAAUUUUUUGCCUAUCUUCCAAUUGGAGUAUUUGUUUACUUACUGAGUUGUAU